This 424-nucleotide ribosomal RNA is filed under the name uncultured archaeon. RNAcentral describes it as "partial 16S ribosomal RNA". It matches the Rfam family "Archaeal small subunit ribosomal RNA", at positions 323 to 746 of the family's 1478-position model. The record is from RNAcentral.
CUACGGGUCGCACCAGCUAGGAAACUUCUACAAUGCACGCAAGUGUGAUAGAGCAAGCCAGAGUGCUUUCCUAUUAUUGGAAAGCUUUUGUGCGAUGUAAAAAGUCGCAAGAAUAAGGACUGGGAAAGACUGGUGCCAGCCGCCGCGGUAAUACCAGCGGUUCAAGUGGCAGCCACUUUUAUUGGGUCUAAAACAUCCGUAGCUUGCUAAGUCAGUCUCUUGUGAAAUCUGGCAUCUCAAGUGUCGGGCGCGCAAAAGAUACUGCUUAGCUAGAGACCGGGAGACGUAAGGAGUACGCAUAGGGUAACGGUCAAAUGUGUUGAUCCUAUGUGGACUAACGAUAGCGAAGGCACCUUACGAGAACGGAUCUGACAGUGAGGGAUGAAGGCUAGGGGCGCAAAACGGAUUAGAUACCCGCGUAGUC